Molecule: non-coding RNA, 107 nt
Organism: Helianthus annuus (common sunflower)
Lineage: Eukaryota; Viridiplantae; Streptophyta; Magnoliopsida; Asterales; Asteraceae
Source: Rfam
AAGCCAGAUGAAGAAUAUGGAUUACAUUCUCACGACGGUCGUCUGAGAAUCACACCUUUUCGUAGGGUUUGAUUAAUUGAUGUAUUCAUCCACUUGUUCUGAUGCUU